CGAAGGGGGCUAGCGUUGCUCGGAUUUACUGGGCGUAAAGGGCGCGUAGGCGGAUGACCAAGUUGGGGGUGAAAGCCCGGGGCUCAACCUCGGAAUUGCCCUCAAAACUGGUCGUCUUGAGUAUGGGAGAGGUGUGUGGAACUCCGAGUGUAGAGGUGAAAUUCGUAGAUAUUCGGAAGAACACCAGUGGCGAAGGCGACACACUGGCCCAUUACUGACGCUGAGGCGCGAAAGCGUGGGGAGCAAACAGGAUUAGAUACCCUGGUAGUCCACGCCGUAAACGAUGAGUGCUAGUUGUCGGCAUGCAUGCAUGUCGGUGACGCAGCUAACGCAUUAAGCACUCCGCCUGGGGAGUACGGUCGCAAGAUUA
RNAcentral lists this ribosomal RNA (370 nucleotides) under uncultured organism. RNAcentral's name for it is "bacterial SSU rRNA". It matches the Rfam family "Bacterial small subunit ribosomal RNA", at positions 526 to 896 of the family's 1533-position model. The record is from RNAcentral.